UGAUAAUUACAUCCAAAUGUGUGCAACA
RNAcentral lists this non-coding RNA (28 nucleotides) under Rattus norvegicus (Norway rat). The record is from RNAcentral. Lineage: Eukaryota; Metazoa; Chordata; Mammalia; Rodentia; Muridae.